UAAAAAGGGGGGUACCGCCCGUAGGAAUUUGACUCCUAAAGUAAAAAUUAAACUUUUUCUUUUUA
Molecule: transfer RNA, 65 nt
Filed under: Acanthochitona mahensis
Lineage: Eukaryota; Metazoa; Mollusca; Polyplacophora; Chitonida; Acanthochitonidae
Description: tRNA-Gln
Source: RNAcentral